Molecule: non-coding RNA, 568 nt
Filed under: Trichomonas vaginalis G3
Lineage: Eukaryota; Parabasalia; Trichomonadida; Trichomonadidae
Description: Eukaryotic small subunit ribosomal RNA
Rfam family: Eukaryotic small subunit ribosomal RNA
Source: Rfam by way of RNAcentral
UACUUGGUUGAUCCUGCCAAGGAAGCACACUUAGGUCAUAGAUUAAGCCAUGCAAGUGUUAGUUCAGGUAACGAAACUGCGAAUAGCUCAUUAAUACGCUCAGAAUCUAUUUGGCGGCGACCAACAGGUCUUAAAUGGAUAGCAGCAGCAACUCUGGUGCUAAUACAUGCGAUUGUUUCUCCAGAUGUGAAUUAUGGAGGAAAAGUUGACCUCAUCAGAGGCACGCCAUUCGACUGAGUGACCUAUCAGCUUGUACUUAGGGUCUUUACCUAGGUAGGCUAUCACGGGUAACGGGCGGUUACCGUCGGACUGCCGGAGAAGGCGCCUGAGAGAUAGCGACUAUAUCCACGGGUAGCAGCAGGCGCGAAACUUUCCCACUCGAGACUUUCAGAGGAGGUAAUGACCAGUUCCAUUGGUGCCUUUUGGUACUGUGGAUAGGGGUACGGUUUUCCACCGUACCGAAACCUAGCAGAGGGCCAGUCUGGUGCCAGCAGCUGCGGUAAUUCCAGCUCUGCGAGUUUGCUCCCAUAUUGUUGCAGUUAAAACGCCCGUAGUCUGAAUUGACCAG